ACUAAGGCUUCCUUAGAAGCCAUACAACUCUAUAACAAAUCAAGAGU
This is a non-coding RNA of Pelodiscus sinensis (Chinese soft-shelled turtle), 47 nucleotides long. The record is from Rfam. NCBI's taxonomy places the organism in Eukaryota, Metazoa, Chordata, Testudines, Trionychidae.